GWUUMMGCCCMACUUGGAACUGAGAACCAGCUCAGAUCCUACGGAGACAGCAUUGGAAUUGGCAAUGGCUARCUGAUCAGCAUGCGCUGAUAUGAGUCUAGGGUKUAAGCUCUUUACCCAGGAUGAUAUGACAGUACUGGAGAUAGCUCAGCUACUCCGUGCCAGCAGCGCGUAUACGAGGAGCUAGCGUAUUCGGAAUUACUGGGCGUAAAGCGCACGUAGGCGGCUUGUAAGUUAGAGKGAAAGCCUGGAGCUCAACUCCAGAAUUGCCUUUAAGACUGCAUCGCUUGAAUCCAGGAGAGGUGAGUGGAAUUCCGAGUGUAGAGGUGAAAUUCGUAGAUAUUCGGAAGAACACCAGUGGCGAAGGCGGCUCACUGGACUGGUAUUGACGCUGAGGUGCGAAAGCGUGGGGAGCAAACAGGAUUAGAUACCCUGGUAGUGCACGCCGUAAACGAUGAUAACUAGCUGUCGGGGCUCUUAGAGCUUCGGUGGCGCAGCUAACGCAUUAAGUUAUCCGCCUGGGGAGUACGGCCGCAAGGUUAAAACUCAAAUGAAUUGACGGGGACCCGCACAAGUGGUGGAGCAUGUGGUUUAAUUCGAAGAUACACGAAGAACCUUACCUGGCCUUGACAUCCCAAGAACUUUCCAGAGAUGGAUUGGUGCUAGCUUGCUAGAACUUGGUGACAGGUGCUGCACGGCUGUCGUCAGCUCGUGUCGUGAGAUGUUGGGUUAAGUCCCGCAACGAGCGCAACCCUCGUCUUUAGUUGCUAACAGUUAGGCUGAGCACUCUAAAGAGACUGCCUCCGUAAGGAGGAGGAAGGUGAGGACGACGUCAAGUCAUCAUGGCCCUUACGGCCAGGGCUACACACGUGCUACAAUGGGGCGUACAGAGAGCUGCAAUACCGCGAGGUGGAGCCAAUCUCUUAAAGCGUCUCUCAGUUCGGAUUGUUCUCUGCAACUCGAGAACAUGAAGCUGGAAUCACUAGUAAUCGCAGAUCAGCUAUGCUGCGGUGAAUACGUUCCCGGGUCUUGUACUCACCGCCCGUCACACCAUGGGAGUUGAUUUCACCCGAAAUCGGGAUGCCAAACUGGCUACCGYWUACGGUGGAAUUAGCGACUGGGGUGAAGUCGUAACAAGGUAACCGU
RNAcentral lists this ribosomal RNA (1146 nucleotides) under uncultured bacterium. RNAcentral's name for it is "bacterial SSU rRNA". It matches the Rfam family "Bacterial small subunit ribosomal RNA", at positions 300 to 1503 of the family's 1533-position model. The record is from RNAcentral.